GCAUUAAUGGGGUAGUGGUAACCUUGGUCGUUGCCAUCGACCAGCCGGGGGUUCAAUUCCCCCUUAAUGCA
This 71-nucleotide transfer RNA is filed under the name Plicaturopsis crispa FD-325 SS-3. RNAcentral describes it as "tRNA-Gly (GCC) (tRNA-Gly-GCC-1 1 to 5)". It matches the Rfam family "tRNA". Rfam says of the family: Transfer RNA (tRNA) molecules are approximately 80 nucleotides in length. Their secondary structure includes four short double-helical elements and three loops (D, anti-codon, and T loops). Lineage: Eukaryota; Fungi; Basidiomycota; Agaricomycetes; Amylocorticiales; Amylocorticiaceae. The record is from RNAcentral.